RNAcentral lists this ribosomal RNA (391 nucleotides) under uncultured bacterium. Its description in RNAcentral is "bacterial SSU rRNA". It matches the Rfam family "Bacterial small subunit ribosomal RNA", at positions 28 to 420 of the family's 1533-position model. The record is from RNAcentral.
GACGAACGCUGGCGGCGUGCUUAACACAUGCAAGUCGAGCGGUAAGGCCCUUUCGGGGGUACGACGAGCGGCGAACGGGUGAGUAACACGUGGGUGACCUGCCUUUAGCUCUGGGAUAAGCCUGGGAAACUGGGUCUAAUACCGGAUAUGACCCUAUGGCGCAUGUUGUGGGGUGGAAAGCCUUGUGCGGCUAGGGAUGGGCCCGCGGCCUAUCAGCUUGUUGGUGGGGUGAUGGCCACCAAGGCGACGACGGGUAGCCGGCCUGAGAGGGCGACCGGCCACACUGGGACUGAGACACGGCCCAGACUCCUACGGGAGGCAGCAGUGGGGAAUCUUGCGCAAUGGGCGAAAGCCUGACGCAGCGACGCCGCGUGAGGGAUGACGGCCUCGG